Maniola jurtina (meadow brown) is the source of this 96-nucleotide long non-coding RNA. RefSeq lists it as uncharacterized. The record is from RefSeq and is a predicted model, not a curated record. The transcript has 3 exons. NCBI's taxonomy places the organism in Eukaryota, Metazoa, Arthropoda, Insecta, Lepidoptera, Nymphalidae.
GGAACUGUAUGAAACAUGGCAACCGCUUGCGUAAAGCGUGGACGUAUGCAUAACCCGGUGUAUUAGGGGUUUACGAGCGUCAAAGAUUUUUAUUUA